Molecule: non-coding RNA, 114 nt
Organism: Triticum aestivum (bread wheat)
Lineage: Eukaryota; Viridiplantae; Streptophyta; Magnoliopsida; Poales; Poaceae
Source: Rfam
CUUGUACUCCCUCCGUCCGAAAAUACUUGUCAUUGAAAUGGAUGUAUCUAGAUGUAUUUUAGUUCUAACACAUCCAUUUUGAUGACAAGUAAUUCCGGACGGAGGGAGUACUUG